RNAcentral lists this ribosomal RNA (484 nucleotides) under uncultured bacterium. RNAcentral's name for it is "partial 16S ribosomal RNA". It matches the Rfam family "Bacterial small subunit ribosomal RNA", at positions 30 to 507 of the family's 1533-position model. The record is from RNAcentral.
AUUGAACGCUGGCGGCAUGCCUUACACAUGCAAGUCGAACGGUAACAGGUCUUUCGGGAUGCUGACGAGUGGUGAACGGGUGAGUAAUACAUCGGAACGUGCCUAGUAGUGGGGGAUAACUACUCGAAAGAGUGGCUAAUACCGCAUGAGAUCUAUGGAUGAAAGCAGGGGACCUUUGGGCCUUGUGCUACUAGAGCGGCCGAUGGCAGAUUAGGUAGUUGGUGGGAUAAAAGCUUACCAAGCCUACGAUCUGUAGCUGGUCUGAGAGGACGAUCAGCCACACUGGGACUGAGACACGGCCCAGACUCCUACGGGAGGCAGCAGUGGGGAAUUUUGGACAAUGGGCGCAAGCCUGAUCCAGCAAUGCCGCGUGCAGGAUGAAGGCCUUCGGGUUGUAAACUGCUUUUGUACGGAACGAAAAGUCUUGGGUUAAUACCCUGGGAUCAUGACGGUACCGUAAGAAUAAGCACCGGCUAACUACGUG